AAGAUGAGUUAAGAGAGCAAGCCUCUUUUUUAACUUUAAGUGAGUUUAUGUUUAAAUUAAAAAAAAAAAAAGUCUAAAUCAAGACUAAAUAUCUGUUAAUAGGGUCAGAAAAUAAUACUGUUUUCCUUUUGAGUUAAAUUGAUUUUUCUGAUCCCAUUGACAAAUAUUUGUUCUCAACUUAAACAUAAACUCACUUCAUUUUGAGACAGUUUUUCUUUCUUUUAGAAAACAAGACUUAAAAAAACAAAACAAAAAAAACAAUACCUGAAUAAAAAUGUGUAAUUCUAAAUAUCUGCAUAUACAGCAAAGUCUCUCUUUUCUUUUUCAGCAGAAUGAUUCAUGGUAAAGACUGAAGGUGUUUUACUAACCCUUACGAGUGUGUAAUACUCAUGAUGUGUUUUAGUCUUUCUUCCUGUUUCUGUCUGUCUCUCUCUCAACUUGUCUCUCUCUCUCUUGGGUACAAAGGAACGUAUUGUUUGAAACACUAACCAAUGAGACAAAACCGACCGCUGACAAACAUAUCUUUGUGUAUGUGUGUGUGUGUGAGAGAGAGAGAGAGAGAGAGAGAGUGUGUGUGUGUGUGUGUGUGUGUGUGUGUGUGUGUAUGUGUGUGGCACAAUAGCAGCUCAUUAGUAUUCCAAAGUGGAUAACGAUCCCCCCUCCACAAAUCUCAACCCACAGUCUUUCUUUCUUUCUUUCUUCCUUUCUUUCUUUCACAGUUUAACAUGCACUCAAAACACACAGAGUCAAACUCAGGAUUGUUUUGUAAGUUUUUCCACAGAUUUAGCUGUUUUCUUAACCCGAACCUGAGCGCAUCUGAUAGAUCAUUGCACUGCAACACCAAAGUAAGGCAUUUGUUCCCAGAACAUGAUAAAAUGAUGAAAUGCAUUGGAUAAAAGCAUCUUCAAAUGCAUUAAUAAGAACAACUUCCAUAACGUCUGUCUUUGAAGUGCUUAAUAAACACAAAUAUUGCAACUGUUACAAAGAUGUAUCAACUUUAUAUUGUUUCAUAUGUAUAACUCAAUAUUGCAGUGUAAAAAAAUAUUAUUUGAAAUUGUAAAUAAAAUAAAGAUUACUGAAGUACAUUUUACAAUAAAAUACUAUUUUAAUUUUUACUUAAUUCAACGUGUUAAUUUCAGUUUUUUAGUAAUUGUCUGGGUAAUUUGCUAUCAGUUUCUAGGUGAAAAUUGUUGCAAAGUUUUUUCAGUGUAUUGAGAAAAUAGAUGAAUCUGUUAGGAGAUACAGGUUGCAUGAUGUAUGCAGCACCUGUUGUUCAGAAGUUCUGAACUCUUUAACCAGGAGCGUCAUCAAACCCAUUCAGAAAGUUGAGUUUGCAUGAGUGCAUGUGAAAUCCAGCGUCUUACCUUGUCAUUCAGAGAGCUGCGAGGCUGCAGUCUAUUAACACAUGCGCUCAGGUGUUCAGAAGCUGAGAUUCAUCAGAUUCUACAUUCAGGUUUGCUGAUCUCAGCUACAUGUUGAUGUUCAGUAAACAAACUUUACUAAACAAGUUACUAAACAGAAGCUCUGCAGAAUGACUGAAUCUCUCAGGAGCAAUG
This is a long non-coding RNA of Cyprinus carpio carpio, 1556 nucleotides long. The record is from Ensembl. Lineage: Eukaryota; Metazoa; Chordata; Actinopteri; Cypriniformes; Cyprinidae.